AGACCCGAAACCCGGUGAUCUAGCCAUGGGCAGGUUGAAGGUUGGGUAACACUAACUGGAGGACCGAACCGACUAAUGUUGAAAAAUUAGCGGAUGACCUGUGGCUGGGGGUGAAAGGCCAAUCAAACCGGGAGAUAGCUGGUUCUCCCCGAAAGCUAUUUAGGUAGCGCCUCGUGAAUUCAUCUCCGGGGGUAGAGCACUGUUUCGGCUAGGGGGCCAUCCCGGCUUACCAACCCGAUGCAAACUGCGAAUACCGGAGAAUGUUAUCACGGGAGACACACGGCGGGUGCUAACGUCCGUCGUGAAGAGGGAAACAACCCAGACCGCCAGCUAAGGUCCCAAAGUCAUGGUUAAGUGGGAAACGAUGUGGGAAGGCCCAGACAGCCAGGAUGUUGGCUUAGAAGCAGCCAUCAUUUAAAGAAAGCGUAAUAGCUCACUGGUCGAGUCGGCCUGCGCGGAAGAUGUAACGGGGCUAAACCAUGCACCGAAGCUGCGGCAGCGACACUGUGUGUUGUUGGGUAGGGGAGCGUUCUGUAAGCCUGCGAAGGUGGCCUGUGAGGGUUGCUGGAGGUAUCAGAAGUGCGAAUGCUGACAUAAGUAACGAUAAAGCGGGUGAAAAGCCCGCUCGCCGGAAGACCAAGGGUUCCUGUCCAACGUUAAUCGGGGCAGGGUGAGUCGACCCCUAAGGCGAGGCCGAAAGGCGUAGUCGAUGGGAAACGGGUUAAUAUUCCCGUACUUGGUGUUACUGCGAAGGGGGGACGGAGAAGGCUAUGUUGGCCGGGCGACGGUUGUCCCGGUUUAAGCGUGUAGGUGUGUGUUCCAGGUAAAUCCGGUUCACUUUAACACUGAGGCGUGACGACGAGGCACUACGGUGCUGAAGCAACAAAUGCCCUGCUUCCAGGAAAAGCCUCUAAGCAUCAGGUAACAUCAAAUCGUACCCCAAACCGACACAGGUGGUCAGGUAGAGAAUACCAAGGCGCUUGAGAGAACUCGGGUGAAGGAACUAGGCAAAAUGGUGCCGUAACUUCGGGAGAAGGCACGCUGACACGUAGGUGAAGUGAUUUACUCAUGGAGCUGAAGUCAGUCGAAGAUACCAGCUGGCUGCAACUGUUUAUUAAAAACACAGCACUGUGCAAACACGAAAGUGGACGUAUACGGUGUGACGCCUGCCCGGUGCCGGAAGGUUAAUUGAUGGGGUCAGCGCAAGCGAAGCUCCUGAUCGAAGCCCCGGUAAACGGCGGCCGUAACUAUAACGGUCCUAAGGUAGCGAAAUUCCUUGUCGGGUAAGUUCCGACCUGCACGAAUGGCGUAAUGAUGGCCAGGCUGUCUCCACCCGAGACUCAGUGAAAUUGAACUCGCUGUGAAGAUGCAGUGUACCCGCGGCAAGACGGAAAGACCCCGUGAACCUUUACUAUAGCUUGACACUGAACAUUGAGCCUUGAUGUGUAGGAUAGGUGGGAGGCUUUGAAGUGUGGACGC
RNAcentral lists this ribosomal RNA (1479 nucleotides) under Salmonella enterica subsp. enterica serovar Redlands. RNAcentral's name for it is "partial 23S ribosomal RNA". It matches the Rfam family "Bacterial large subunit ribosomal RNA", at positions 711 to 2171 of the family's 2925-position model. Lineage: Bacteria; Pseudomonadati; Pseudomonadota; Gammaproteobacteria; Enterobacterales; Enterobacteriaceae. The record is from RNAcentral.